ACAACUUAUUUGUACGAGGUUAGCCAAUUCAGUCAAUUAUCUUUCAUAACUUCCUCUGAUUAUCAUUAUCUACAGAAAGUCCUUCCUGAUUCCAAAGAGCAGUCUGAUCCAAGUUAUUUCAACUGGGGGGCUAGCCCAUCCUCUUCUUCUUCCAAGGCCAGGGCCCACUUCACAGGCAUCUGAUUCAGAAGAUUUCCCUCCCCAACUAGACUCAUCAAACCCCAAGCUUCCUUUCCCUGCUUACUCUUUUGCAUAAUUACACAGUGAGGUCAUGUGUUUACCAUACCAUUGUUCCAUCGCCAUGGAGAUGAUGAGCCGCAAAGCACUGGCAAGAGGCCUCCCAUGCAGGAUGAAGCCAAAGAAGAAGACAGAGAGAAGAGAGGAAGGACACGCCCAUUAACCAGAGGACCCAAAACAUAUCUCAAGGAGCUCAUGAAGUCACCCUCAUGCACACAGUUUCCCAGGUGUCAGAUCUGUUUGGGCCACACACUCAAGAAGAACACCAUGUGGGGAUGAAGGCAGAGAGCAAGGUGAUGCAGCUGAAACCAAGGACGCUGAAGACUUCCUGCAAACCCCCAGAAGCUGGGGGAGAGGCCCUGCCAGACUUCAGAAGGAGCCAACCCUGCUGAUACCUUGACCUUGAACUCCUAGCCCCAGAACUAUGAGAAAUAAAUUUCUGUUAUUUAAGCCA
Molecule: non-coding RNA, 691 nt
Organism: Chlorocebus sabaeus (green monkey)
Lineage: Eukaryota; Metazoa; Chordata; Mammalia; Primates; Cercopithecidae
Source: RefSeq, a predicted model, not a curated record